RNAcentral lists this small nucleolar RNA (68 nucleotides) under Sinocyclocheilus rhinocerous. The record is from RNAcentral. Lineage: Eukaryota; Metazoa; Chordata; Actinopteri; Cypriniformes; Cyprinidae.
UUGCAGUGAUGUCUUGAAUUUCUUCACCUGAACUUUGUGUAGAACUCAUUUUUUUAAAACUGAGCAAA